This 497-nucleotide ribosomal RNA is filed under the name uncultured bacterium. Its description in RNAcentral is "partial 16S ribosomal RNA". It matches the Rfam family "Bacterial small subunit ribosomal RNA", at positions 28 to 507 of the family's 1533-position model. The record is from RNAcentral.
GAUGAACGCUGGCGGCGUGCCUAAUACAUGCAAGUCGAGCGAACAGACGAGGAGCUUGCUCCUCUGACGUUAGCGGCGGACGGGUGAGUAACACGUGGAUAACCUACCUAUAAGACUGGGAUAACUUCGGGAAACCGGAGCUAAUACCGGAUAAUAUAUUGAACCGCAUGGUUCAAUAGAGAAAGACGGUUUUGCUGUCACUUAUAGAUGGAUCCGCGCCGCAUUAGCUAGUUGGUAAGGUAACGGCUUACCAAGGCAACGAUGCGUAGCCGACCUGAGAGGGUGAUCGGCCACACUGGAACUGAGACACGGUCCAGACUCCUACGGGAGGCAGCAGUAGGGAAUCUUCCGCAAUGGGCGAAAGCCUGACGGAGCAACGCCGCGUGAGUGAUGAAGGUCUUCGGAUCGUAAAACUCUGUUAUUAUGGAAGAACAAAUGUGUAAGUAACUAUGCACGUCUUGACGGUACCUAAUCAGAAAGCCACGGCUAACUACGUG